AGAGAGAGACAUGCGUGCAUAUCAAUAAGCGGAGGAAAAGAAACUAACAAGGAUUCCCCUAGUAACGGCGAGUGAAGCGGGAAGAGCUCAAAUUUGAAAUCUUAAAGGGUUUCCCUUUACGAAUUGUAGUCUAAAGAAGUGUUUUCUGUUGAGGUUUUGGUAAAAGUUCUUUGGAAUAGGACAUCAUAGAGGGUGAGAAUCCCGUAUUUGACCUUUACUUUCAACUUUGUGAUACACUUUCAAAGAGUCGGAUUGUUUGGGAAUGCAGUCCAAAAUGGGUGGUAAAUUUCAUCUAAAGCUAAAUAUUGGCGAGAGACCGAUAGCGAACAAGUACCGUGAGGGAAAGAUGAAAAGAACUUUGAAAAGAGAGUUAAACAGUACGUGAAAUUGUCAAAAGGGAAGCGUCUGACACCAGUGUUGUUUUUCUGAAAAUCAAUUAAAGAACUGUUUAUGCUAAGCUGUUUAGACUUUAUCAGCUAUCUGUUUAGUUUUGAGCUUUUCUUUAAUGCACUUUUCAGUUAACAAGUCAACAUCAAUUUCUUUUGCUGUAAAAAAGCUUGAGGAAGGUGGCUUGAGAUUCGUCUUAAGUGUUUAUAGCCUCUUGCCUAUGCAGUCGGAGAGAUUGAGGUCUGCAGCGUAGAUCCUUCGGGGCUAAAUGCAUUUGUGCUAAGUUAUAGCAUUUUAUAGACAACUUGUUGACUAUGAUUUGUCUUGUAGCUUACUCGCUUAUGUUAUUUUACCUACGCUUAGGAUGUUGACGCAUGAGAUAUACGC
RNAcentral lists this ribosomal RNA (774 nucleotides) under uncultured Neocallimastigales. Its description in RNAcentral is "partial large subunit ribosomal RNA". It matches the Rfam family "Eukaryotic large subunit ribosomal RNA", at positions 23 to 646 of the family's 3401-position model. The record is from RNAcentral. Lineage: Eukaryota; Fungi; Neocallimastigomycota; Neocallimastigomycetes; Neocallimastigales.